ACAUGGUGGCAACGCCGUACAUUCAGCUGUUCGGUAACUUGUUCUGCGCGUAUAAAUUGUAUUAGUUUUAGUGUUUAAUAUAUUUAACGAUUUCAUCAUUAUUUUCACCAUAUAUUUCUAAAAUGUUGCGCAAUCUAACUCGUCGCUUUGAUUGCGCGCUCAGACUGCAGCGGCAAACAUAUCCACACGCAGUGCGCUUGCUUCAAACCACAGAUGUCAGCCGCGCGCUUUUUACACAAUACGCCUGCGAGAGUCGCUUGAACAAAAAGCAGCCCACACUGGCCACCGCCGCAGCCGGCAUCAGGAACCAUGCGACGCCCACAGCCAGUGAGGCGGACAAUGAGUAUGUGCCGUAUCGCACAGAGCUGGAGAGCGGCAGUCGCGCCAGUGCUGUAAUAGCGGCGAUACGCGAACGUUUUCGGCUCACCGAAGGCGAAGCGCAGCGCAUUCUGAGCGAUGAGCAAGUGCGUCGCAGCUAUCGCAAUCGCUGCCUGACAAAUGCGCUGGACAGGCUGCUGCUGGAGGGCGUGAGCAAGAAAAGCUUUUUGGAAUAUCCCUGGCUGUUGGGGCUCGAUCGGCAGCGUCUGGAACUUAAGCUGGAGCUGAUCAAAUCGAUGCACAUGCUCGACAUCAAUCACUUCGUGCCCUUUUUGCGUCUUACAGUGCCACGCCUACGCAAGCUGGUGGGCACCUUGAAUGCCGAGACCAACGAAUACCCGCAAAAGAAUCGCGUUUACUAUAUCAGCGAAAAGCUGGGCGUCAGCCCCGAGAUCGUCACAAAAUAUUUGUCGAAGCGACUCUUCAUACUGGAAAUGCCAUAUGAGAUGUUCGAGAAGAAUCUGGAGCACAUGAUCAACUAUAAUGUUUCACCCAUUAACAUACUGCGUGAUCUGUGGGCCUUUCGCUAUGCUCCCAAGGCUGUGGAGCUGCGCCUGGAGCGCGCCCAACGUGCGAAAAAGGAUAAGAUAAUGCCUUGGAUGGUGCGUUGCCCGGAACCUAUACUGCAACGCUCUCUAAAGCUUUCCCUGGAUGAGCUGCAGGUGCUGGGCGAAUUCUCCACCGUGGUGGAGUAUGUGGCGCAUCGCUUGGGCUUCAGUGUGAGCGAAACGAAGGCAAUUAUGGAUCGACAUCCGCAGGUGCACACAGUGCGCGUUACAAAGAUCAAAGAGGUCUUGGACUAUUUGCUAGACGUUGCGAAAUUCACACGCUUUGAAGUUGCGCAAGUACCGCGGAUUUUGUGCCACAGCCUAAAGACCACGCAGCAGCGCGUGGAGGAGCUGCAGUCGCUCGGCUGUCGACCCUCCACGCUGGUCAUCCUGUGUCGCAGCAGACGGGAAUAUGAAAAGUUCUUGCAGCAAUGGAACAGUCAGCAUGGUGCGCCACAACAGAUCAACAGCAGUUGAGCCCCAGCCAUCCCAGCCAGGCAUCUAGUUUCAUUCCAUUCAGCUGCCCACCCGGGCACAUUGCAACAAUAUUUCCUACUUCAUUUGUAAUCUUGCUGCAGGCAUUGGGUUUGCACCUUUGCGAAUUACCUGCAAGGCAAGGUAAUGCUGACCUACGAGCCACCCAACUGUGGCCGAGGGAGCGAAGAAGAAGGAAAAGUUUUCAUUCAUUCGCCCUAUUAGAGGUAGUCCAGCUGGCAAUUCAAUUAAAAGACUAUUUUCAUGUCAGCUCAGGACAGUUGCAAAUGGAAACGACAAAUUGAAUUAGGAAACAGAAACAUAGUGGAUAAAAGAACUACAAUUAAAAUCUUCAGAAAGCUUCUUAAGGAACCAAGACUGUACUACGAUAAAGUUGAAUAAAAGAAAGUCUAAUUAUGUUGGAGAUCAACAAUGAAUGCCUCAGGAAUUACAUACUUAAUUCUAAUAUACUACGAAUAAAGUUCACGUAAAAUGGAAAUUUGAAUUUAAGAACAUAAAGUUAUACGACAAAUUAUGAAUGAAAAAGUUUUAAUUUAUUUUUAUGGGCAUCAUAUCAUAUGGAUAUCAUACCAUUAAAUAAAGAAGAAUCAUCAAAAAUAA
Drosophila mojavensis is the source of this 2021-nucleotide RNA transcript. It is a transcript of the gene named transcription termination factor, mitochondrial, with no coding region annotated. The transcript is spliced from 7 exons. Lineage: Eukaryota; Metazoa; Arthropoda; Insecta; Diptera; Drosophilidae. The record is from RefSeq and is a predicted model, not a curated record.